UACGUAGGGGGCAAGCGUUGUCCGGAUUUAUUGGGCGUAAAGAGCGUGUAGGCGGCCAGGUAGGUCAGCUGUGAAAACUCGAGGCUCAACCUCGAGAUGUCGGCUGAAACCAUCUGGCUAGAGUCCGGAAGAGGAGAAUGGAAUUCCCGGUGUAGCGGUGAAAUGCGCAGAUAUCGGGAAGAACACCCGUGGCGAAGGCGGCCUGCUGGGCUGUUGCUGACGCUGAGGCGCGACAGCGUGGGGAGCAAACAGG
RNAcentral lists this ribosomal RNA (253 nucleotides) under uncultured bacterium. Its description in RNAcentral is "partial 16S ribosomal RNA". It matches the Rfam family "Bacterial small subunit ribosomal RNA", at positions 524 to 776 of the family's 1533-position model. The record is from RNAcentral.